CCCCCACGCGCGGCCGGCAGCUGGAGCGCGGCGGGGCGCGCGGCAGCCCGCGCUGCCGGCGAUGUUUGGAAACUUGAACGCCAGAUCGCGCCCUCGCCCUCCGCCCCGGCCCGCGCCCGGGCAGCGCAUGCACCCUGCGGGGGGGGGGUGGGGGGUUCCUGUUGUGUGUUUUUUUUUUUUUUUUUGUUUUUUUUUUUUUUUUCUUCCUGGCCGGGCUUUCUAAGUUCAAACGUCUCGUUUUCAGGAUUUUGUAAACCCGCGGAUCGCCCCGCUUUGCCUCCGUGACGGCUGCGCGGCGUCCUGCCACCGAGGCUGUCGGUGGGAUUCCCGUGCGCUCCGGCUGCUGAGGCAAAUGGGGGGGGAUCCCGCCUUAAUAUCCGAUUUCGUGUUUCUCUUUCAGUGAUCCCGGUGACAGAAUGACACACUUUCUGUAAGCCCGUCACUGCAUCAGAAGCUCUUCCACUUUUGAUUUGUUUAAAUCAGCCAUGUUUGCCGAGUGUUUAAGGUUGGGCUGGGAAAGAUAGUGCUGUGCGUUGCUCAAGGGUGUAGGAGAGGCCAGGCAGUGCCUCUUCCUGAUUCCUUUGUUGCUAGAAACGCCGAACCCCCCCGUCCAUUACAGGUUUCCCUCUGCGCUUUAAAGGGACUCCGGGUUUCUAUGGCGUUGUGCCACGGCUGCCUCACACGCACGCACACACACACUCACGCACACGCACACGCACGCCCAGCAAGCAGGGAAGAUACUUUGUAUUCGGUUAAUAACGUUUCAAAACUCUGCGCGACAAAAAGUUGUUGCUUUAAAUAAUUCGUUUCGUAUCGCAAACGCGUCUCAUUUCCAUUUUUAGUUGUCUAAAACGUUUUAUAUGUGUCUGGUUAUAAACUUUAAAGCUGGCAAACGAA
Tyto alba (common barn owl) is the source of this 897-nucleotide long non-coding RNA. RefSeq lists it as uncharacterized. The record is from RefSeq and is a predicted model, not a curated record. The transcript has 2 exons. NCBI's taxonomy places the organism in Eukaryota, Metazoa, Chordata, Aves, Strigiformes, Tytonidae.